UACGUAGGUGGCAAGCGUUGUCCGGAAUUAUUGGGCGUAAAGCGCGCGCAGGCGGCCUUUUAAGUCUGAUGUGAAAUCUUGCGGCUCAACCGCAAGCGGCCAUUGGAAACUACUAGGCUUGAAUACUGGAGAGGGUCGCGGAAUUCCCAGUGUAGAGGUGAAAUUCGUAGAUAUCGGGAGGAACACCAGUGGCGAAGGCGGCGACCUGGACAGAUAUUGACGCUGAGGUGCGAAAGCGUGGGGAGCAAACAGG
Molecule: ribosomal RNA, 253 nt
Filed under: uncultured bacterium
Lineage: Bacteria
Description: partial 16S ribosomal RNA
Rfam family: Bacterial small subunit ribosomal RNA
Source: RNAcentral